AGUGAAAUCCUUUGGCUCAACUCAUAGGCUGCUUCCGAAACUGCUGUGCUUGAGUGUGGGAGAGGUGAGUGGAAUUGCCGGUGUAGCGGUGAAAUGCGUAGAUAUCUGGAGGAACACCUGUGGCGAAAGCGGCUCGCUGGACCAUAACUGACGCUGAUGGACGAAAGCUGGGGGAGCAAACAGGAUUAGAUACCCUGGUAGUCCCAGCCCUAAACCAUGAUUGCUUGGUGUGACGGCCAUUCAGUCGUCCCCUGCCAACUCUAACGCUAUAUCCUGUCCCCGUGGAGAGUACUGUCGCGAGGGUGACUCUCAGAAGAUGUGAGGGGCGCCCGCACACGCUGUGGAGCGUGUGUUUUAUUUCCACUCCACGCGGAAAAUCAUAUGUGCGCUCGAUGUGUAGUACACCGUGGUAAAAUUAUGCCUUCCCCCCAGGGAGCUGCAUAAUAGGUGCUGCUGGGUGGUCUUCACCUCGGGUCUGGAGAGGUUGGGUUAAUUCCCGCACCAAGCGCACCCCUGAUCUUCAUUU
This 526-nucleotide ribosomal RNA is filed under the name uncultured bacterium. Its description in RNAcentral is "bacterial SSU rRNA". It matches the Rfam family "Bacterial small subunit ribosomal RNA", at positions 593 to 1116 of the family's 1533-position model. The record is from RNAcentral.